Pelobates cultripes (western spadefoot toad) is the source of this 204-nucleotide non-coding RNA. The record is from the annotation of a GenBank genome assembly. Lineage: Eukaryota; Metazoa; Chordata; Amphibia; Anura; Pelobatidae.
CUCUAUCACAACUUAAUUUCAUUUGGUUUUGCAAACUGUAAUUUUGUCCAUAUCCCUUACUUAGCUACAUUUAUACAUUUAUAGGGGUGACCAGAUUUUAGAGAAACACAUCUCAGUGAGGAACUAAUUCUACAAUGAUACAAUCUGCAACAAACUUGAACAUGAUUUCCCCUCGCCUCUUUCUACACAGUAAAGGAUUCAAGU